GUGCGACACUCCCAUAUUAUUAAAAACAUUAUAUUUAAAGCAUAUGAAACGGAAUCAAAUGAUCCAAUCAGUUUCUGUUCCAUAUGUAUUAUGUAUGAUGUAAAAAAUACUGUGGCAUAUUUUGCUAUUAUCAUUAUGAAGAGACUUAGAAUGAUAAACCAUAAAACAGUAUUAUGUAAACAACCUUUCAUGGGUCUUGAAUGCCUAUAAACAAGCAGACAGAAAAUGAGGUAGUUCUAAAAUACUGAACAGCAUACCAAAAAGGCCUCAACUAAAAAGUGUAAUCAUCUAAUUUACUAAUGUUCCCAUAAUUACAUGACAUGUAAAGAGAUAAGCACAUUGUUUCUUUAGCAAUAUGCACAAACAACCCUAAACUCACAAGUCUGAAGAAGCUGUGAUGUGCUCAGAGCCCUGCAUGUGCAAGUCUAUUCUCACGAGUGAUGGAUCUCCAUAACACAACUGAAUUUCUAAAUCAUGUGAGGCCAAACAUUUCCAUAAUGCAAAACGCAUUCGUCAUAAAUCAGAUGCGAAUGAAUGGAGAGAUUGAGCGGCGUUAAACGGAGCACCACAGGCCUCCACUAUAGCACGGCAUCGAAAUCCCCAGCAAAACGCUUGUACCUACAUCAUGUACUCGCGCAAAUGAAUCAAAUUCGCACAAACAAAACAACAAACGCUACGUGUGACAGGCCCGAUGACGUCACGGGCAUCAGUCACAAGCGUCCAUCAGGAAAGAGUGUGUGUGUGUGUGUGUGUGAGUGUGUGUGUGUUUGCAGCAGUGACAGAACCUCAGCUUUUCAGACCAAGCGACCAACCUACCCAGCAGCAGUAGUCGAUGAGUUGCUCUGUAGAUCUGUUUGUCUUUCUGGAGCUGCUUCUCUAUCUUUUUGUUAGCUUCUCGCUGGGCCUUCUCCUCAUUUCGCUGGUCCUCAGUCUUACUGUUGCCCAAACAACCCAUUUUCCCAAAAACCCAAGAAAAGUUUUGGGGUGGGGUGAGGGGAAGGUGAAUCUACCGAAUGAAUAAAUGAUCCAAAUCCCUCGAUUGGCCUCCGAUCAGAACACUGUGAUGGAAAACCGGGACAUUUAUACGUGUAUGCACACAACUACCCUGGAUUUCGCCGAUGUGGGCAGGGGAGCACGGGGAAAUAGGAAAAAGCUCUGGGUGACUAGUACUGGCGAGAAUAGGUGGUGGUGGUGAUGAUGGUGAUGAUGAUGAUGGUGGUUAUCCAGGUCAGGUGGAGAGAAAGGCUCGCUAUCCCUUACAGCAUUACCGCUCAGGCUUUCCAAAGGUGUCGUUUAGCCGCAUCGGCUUUUCCCCCUCAGGUUCUGGUAUUGACAGGAGUGAACUUUGACCUGACACACAUAGCGCACUUUUCACUGUUUGUUAUUCUUGCUCUACUAUUUCUGGACGCCGCUCCAAGUCCCUCCUCGUCCGCUUCUCGCUCGCUCCCGCCGCUGACCGGAGAUCAGUUUUCUGCUGUAACUUUUUUUGCAC
This 1492-nucleotide long non-coding RNA is filed under the name Danio rerio (zebrafish). Its description in RNAcentral is "si:ch211-122i22.6 (ENSDARG00000095955.2)". Lineage: Eukaryota; Metazoa; Chordata; Actinopteri; Cypriniformes; Danionidae. The record is from RNAcentral.